CCUGGUAGUCACGCUGUAAACGAUGUCGAUUUAGAGGUUGUGGUCUUGAACCGUGGCUUCUGGAGCUAACGCGUUAAAUCGACCGCCUGGGGAGUACGGCCGCAAGGUUAAAACUCAAAUGAAUUGACGGGGGCCCGCACAAGCGGUGGAGCAUGUGGUUUAAUUCGAUGCAACGCGAAGAACCUUACCUACUCUUGACAUCCAGAGAAUCCUUUAGAGAUAGAGGAGUGCCUUCGGGAACUCUGAGACAGGUGCUGCAUGGCUGUCGUCAGCUCGUGUUGUGAAAUGUUGGGUUAAGUCCCGCAACGAGCGCAACCCUUAUCCUUUGUUGCCAGCGCGUGAUGGCGGGAACUCAAAGGAGACUGCCGGUGAUAAACCGGAGGAAGGUGGGGAUGACGUCAAGUCAUCAUGGCCCUUACGAGUAGGGCUACACACGUGCUACAAUGGCAGAUACAAAGAGAAGCGACCUCGCGAGAGCAAGCGGAACUCAUAAAGUCUGUCGUAGUCCGGAUUGGAGUCUGCAACUCGACUCCAUGAAGUCGGAAUCGCUAGUAAUCGUAGAUCAGAAUGCUACGGUGAAUACGUUCCCGGGCCUUGUACACACCGCCCGUCACACCAUGGGAGUGGGUUGCAAAAGAAGUAGGUAGCUUAACCUUCGGGAGGGCGCUUACCACUUUGUGAUUCAUGACUGGGGUGA
Molecule: ribosomal RNA, 697 nt
Filed under: Proteus penneri
Lineage: Bacteria; Pseudomonadati; Pseudomonadota; Gammaproteobacteria; Enterobacterales; Morganellaceae
Description: bacterial SSU rRNA
Rfam family: Bacterial small subunit ribosomal RNA
Source: RNAcentral